GUGAGGAAUAUUGGUCAAUGGGCGGAAGCCUGAACCAGCCAAGUCGCGUGAAGGAAGAAGGAUCUAUGGUUUGUAAACUUCUUUUGAAGGGGGAUAAAGUGCGUCACGAGUGGUGCAUUGCAGGUACCCUUGGAAUAAGCAUCGGCUAACUCCGUGCCAGCAGCCGCGGUAAUACGGAGGAUGCGAGCGUUAUCCGGAUUUAUUGGGUUUAAAGGGUGCGUAGGUGGCUUUUUAAGUCAGCGGUGAAAACUGGCGGCUCAACCGCAAGAGUGCCGUUGAAACUGGGGAGCUAGAGUAUGAACGAGGUAGGCGGAAUGCGUGGUGUAGCGGUGAAAUGCAUAGAUAUCACGCAGAACUCCGAUAGCGAAGGCAGCUUACCAGGCCAUAACAGACACUGAAGCACGAAAGCGUGGGGAUCGAACAGGAUUAGAUACCCCAGUAGUCC
This 445-nucleotide ribosomal RNA is filed under the name uncultured bacterium. RNAcentral describes it as "partial 16S ribosomal RNA". It matches the Rfam family "Bacterial small subunit ribosomal RNA", at positions 354 to 796 of the family's 1533-position model. The record is from RNAcentral.